UCUUAUAUAGGCACGAAUCCCUUCAUGGGGGU
Molecule: non-coding RNA, 32 nt
Filed under: Macaca fascicularis (crab-eating macaque)
Lineage: Eukaryota; Metazoa; Chordata; Mammalia; Primates; Cercopithecidae
Also listed under: 1 other name
Source: RNAcentral